AUGAGGAGAGAGGGAUAUUCACGAUUGAGAACAAAAAAAGUCAGAAAAAAUCAGGAUACUCACCUCUCAACCUCAUUCUCUCGGCAAGCUCCAUCUCCCAUCAUCAUCUUCGACCUCACUCUCAAUCUCCAUUCUCUUUCUACAAAUCUCCAUCUUUGUUUCACCUCUCUGCAAAUCCAACAAUCUUCAUCUUCACCAUCAUCAUCUUAG
Vicia faba (fava bean) is the source of this 210-nucleotide non-coding RNA. The record is from the annotation of a GenBank genome assembly. NCBI's taxonomy places the organism in Eukaryota, Viridiplantae, Streptophyta, Magnoliopsida, Fabales, Fabaceae.